AGUGGCGGACGGGUGAGUAACACGUGAGAAUCUGCCCUUAGGAGGAGGAUAACAGCUGGAAACGGUUGCUAAUACUCCAUAUGCCGAGAGGUGAAAGGAUGUAUCUGCCUAAGGAGGAGCUCGCGUCUGAUUAGCUAGUUGGUGGGGUAAUGGCCUACCAAGGCGACGAUCAGUAGCUGGUUUGAGAGGAUGAUCAGCCACACUGGGACUGAGACACGGCCCAGACUCCUACGGGAGGCAGCAGUAGGGAAUUUUCCGCAAUGGGCGAAAGCCUGACGGAGCAAUACCGCGUGAGGGAUGACGGCCUGUGGGUUGUAAACCUCUUUUCUCAAGGAAGAAGUUCUGACGGUACUUGAGGAAUAAGCAUCGGCUAACUCUGUGCCAGCAGCCGCGGUAAUACAGAGGAUGCAAGCGUUAUCCGGAAUCACUGGGCAUAAAGCGUCUGUAGGUUGUUUAGUAAGUCUGCUGUUAAAGACUGGGGCUCAACCCCAGAAAAGCAGUGGAAACUGCUAGACUUGAGUGUGGUAGAGGUAGAGGGAAUUCCUAGUGUAGCGGUGAAAUGCGUAGAUAUUAGGAAGAACACCAAUGGCGAAGGCACUCUACUGGGCCAUAACUGACACUGAGAGACGACAGCUAGGGGAGCAAAUGGGAUUAGAUACCCCAGUAGUCCUAGCCGUAAACGAUGGAUACUAGAUGUUGCACGUAUUAACCCGUGCAGUAUCGUAGCUAAAGCGUUAAGUAUCCCGCCUGGGAAGUAC
RNAcentral lists this ribosomal RNA (758 nucleotides) under uncultured phototrophic eukaryote. RNAcentral's name for it is "bacterial SSU rRNA". It matches the Rfam family "Bacterial small subunit ribosomal RNA", at positions 94 to 883 of the family's 1533-position model. The record is from RNAcentral.